Long non-coding RNA from Helianthus annuus (common sunflower), 397 nucleotides. RefSeq lists it as uncharacterized. The transcript has 2 exons. The record is from RefSeq and is a predicted model, not a curated record. Lineage: Eukaryota; Viridiplantae; Streptophyta; Magnoliopsida; Asterales; Asteraceae.
AUAAGCAGGCUUAUGAGGGGGGGGGGGGGGGAGGGGGGGGUUAGUAUGUUACAUAUUGUGUGAGGAUCAAGAUUAGCCAACCCUACUCUAUCCCCUCCCUCAAGACUCGACGGCAGCCACUUGAUUUCCAUUCGAAGCCCUCCAUUAAUCGCUCCAACACCUCUUUAGGAUACUUGAUCUCGAGGUCGUUAGAUGUCUUGGAUUUGGAACUUGCUGUCUGGAGUAGCUGGAGUAGUCAUGGGUCGACUGGAAGGGCUCAUGUGAUUAAAUUCCCUAUUCUAUACUUGGGUUUUGAAAAAGUUUAACUUCAUUUUAUUAUUUGCUUCCGCUGAACAUAUCGGUUUUCAUGUAAACUUGUUGAUGGAAUUUUAUUAAUGAUUGAGAACUUAUUUAGAAA